GUGAAGAACGCAGCGAAAUGCGAUAAGUAAUGCGAAUUGCAGAAUUUCCGUGAGUCAUCGAAUCUUUGAACGCGCAUUGCGACCACUGGUAUUCCGGUGGGCAUGCCUGUUCGAGCGUCAUUAUCCUCCCUCAAACCUCGGGUUUGGUGUUGGACCCAAGUUGUGUGAACAACUGGUCUUAAAGACAAUGACGGCGUCCGUGGGACCCUCGGUGCAACGAGCUUUUAGGAGCACGCGUUGAGUUUCAAGGACCUUCCGGGCCGGUCUCCUUUACCAUUUUACAAGGUUGACCUCGGAUCAGGUAGGAAUACCCGCUGAACUUAAGCAUAUCAAUAAGCGGAGGA
RNAcentral lists this unclassified non-coding RNA (344 nucleotides) under soil metagenome. RNAcentral's name for it is "partial contains 5.8S ribosomal RNA, internal transcribed spacer 2, and large subunit ribosomal RNA". The stretch from base 2 to 120 matches the Rfam family "5.8S ribosomal RNA", at positions 37 to 154 of the family's 154-position model. The record is from RNAcentral.